Molecule: long non-coding RNA, 2343 nt
Organism: Harpia harpyja (harpy eagle)
Lineage: Eukaryota; Metazoa; Chordata; Aves; Accipitriformes; Accipitridae
Exons: 4
Source: RefSeq, a predicted model, not a curated record
CGUGCUUUGAGAGCAGAGAGGCGUCGUUGCAGGCCAGCCCGGCCCCUGCACAGGCCUCGGCCAUGUGGCACUGUUUCUGAGGCAGGCUCGUCCGGACAGAAGCGAGCGAGGAAACCUUGGAUCGCUCCUCCCUGGGUCUCCUCGCCGCAGGUGCCGUUAGGAUCCGGAUUGUAGAGGCCACGCUGCCGCCGAGCCGCCGUCCCCAAGGCCCCCCCGCCUGCUCCGGGUUCCUCUCCCCCUCCCCACGGGUGUUAUUUACACCGUUUCCUGCCCAGGGAAGUUCAGGAGUUUGACGUUACCGGGUUGGUUUCCGCUCUCCUGCCUGGCUCCCAUCGGGAGCUCUCGCAGAGCCCGAGCCCUGCGGUGCCAGCGGUGGCCGGGUAGGAGCCUGCCCGUGCCAGCGGGCAGAUGGAGGUGCCAGCCAGGCCCAGGGAAGGAAGCGUAACCCCUGUCAGGCCGGACAACUCAAGCUCAACCGGCCUGGGAGGGCUGGAAAAGCUGACCCCAUGUCCAUCCCUCCGCAUCGGUCCUGCUGCGGGGCUGGACGGGGCAGCUCAGACCCAGUGGGAGGAAGGGAGGACGCGCCCGGGCAUCGCUGCAGAGCUUUUGGGUUCCUGCCGAAUCGACGCCCUCCCCUCUCCCCCCCCCCAUCCUUCCCGUGUGCUCCCGCCUGGCCUGCGUCUCUCCUCCCUUCCCUUCUCCCUCCCAUCCCGCAGCAAACAAAAUGGCUGCUGCAUGGCCAUUUUGUUUUCCGUCUGGAAGGGGGAAGCCAGGACGCUGGGACUUGGCUCUUUUUUGGAGGCUGCGGCCAUGUUCGAGCCCAACUCUCCCGUCUCUACGUGGCACCGGCUGUAGCAAGAGAGAGAGAAAAAAAAAAAAAAGAAAAAAAAAAAAGGACCUUUUGGAACGAGACCAAAGUCAGAGGCAGAGAGUGGGUAGUUUUGGCGUAUGUUGAGCACUGAAAAUGCCUGGAAUUGCCAAACUGAGCUUUUGUAUUAGCAGCGUAAGGCUACUCGGUGCAUGCAGAGUCGCGGGGCUGCACGGUAUAGCCGGACGGAAAGUGAUUCUGCGUUUCCUUCAGUAGCCUGGAUGUCUUGGAGUUAGUAGUCACGUCUCUUCGUUCACGGACGCUCGGAGGAGCAGAUCUCUGUCCAGUUGCAUGGGGGGGGGUGGAUCGGGAUCUGAUAAGGCAUCGGUGUUGGGGUGAUCGUCCUACCUUUCCUUGAAGGACUGCCCGGACAUCUGGAGAGAAGCAGACACUUUCAGAGAGGAGCUGGGAAGGAGAGCAGAAAGAGGUGAAAUCGCUUUUCUUGCACAGAAAGGAGGCACAGAGCAGCUGAUGACGGGAUAAGGAUCAUCUCAUUGCCUUAGACUGCCAUGGUCGCAAGCUGUCCUUGAGGCUGAGGCAGGUAGCACUGUCAUCUGACAACAGACAUAUGAGAAGACAGCAUGCUUCAGAGCUCUGGCACUCGACAAGGCACAGGGAAUCGUUGUUUCUUCUCUUUCUUAGGAGCAGAUGGGACUAUAUCUCUGCCAUAUUCCAAAAUAAGUAGGAUCAAGAACGUGAGUGGAGCUGUAACACGAUCAGGGCUGCAUCAGGUCUUCAAGACUGAAGGACAUCAUCUCAGGCCAUUAUCACUGCCAUCUCACUGUCAGGGAAACGCAUGAGAUCCGAGAUAUCGGGUAGUGAGGGCAAGCAGAGGACACCUUCUCAGAUGAAUUGGGAGGAAGAGAGCUGCAAAAAGAAGUUGGAGCCCUCAAAUUUCACUCUGAGCAAACACACAGGGAGACCCAGACGUGACUGCUUGGGCCAUGGGACUCCUCAAAAUGAAGCAGCUUGUUUAAGGCUCCUCUGCUUCUCGGGAUGGGGUGUAGCUGCAGUGAGGCUGGGACGUGACUUCCUCAGGCUGGGCAACAGCUGGUGGGUGGGGAUGCCGCAGUGUCUAGUGGCGAAGGAAUGCAAUCUUCUCUCCAUAAAUCUGGCUCUUCAGCAGUCCUGGCGACUUGCUGUGCAAAACUACAGCUUGGUCCUCUUAGAUGCAUUAUUAUCCUCUAGCUGCUUGCUGAGGGGCAGGGCUCCUACCCGCAAAUUGCUUGGAAGGUACCAAAAUAGCACCAUGAGCAUGGGAACAGAGCGGCACAUCCACUUCAUAUUUAAGAGGUAUCCCCUAGAAAAGAACUAAUCCUGUGUGUCCCAAAUGAAAUCAGUUCAGUCCCCCUCCCUUGCAUUGAUGUUAAUGCAGAGAAUCUCAAGCAGUGAAACUGUGUGAGCUGGAAGUCAUGAAUAAAAUAUUACUGGAGAUAUUCUCUUGUGAAAAUAAACUUGUUUUGACUUUUUUAAAA